CGCCUGUUUAUCAAAAACAUGUCCUAUUGAUUAUUAUUUUAGGUCUGGCCUGCCCAAUGAUUUUUAAUGGCCGCAGUAUUUUGACUGUGCUAAGGUAGCAUAAUCAUUAGUUUUUUAAUUGAAAGCUUGUAUGAAGGGUUGGAUGAGAAAACUACUUUCUUUUUAGUAUUUUUGUUGAAUUUUACUUUUAGGUCAAAAGGCUUAAAUUUUUUUGGGGGACGAGAAGACCCUAUAGAAUUUUAUUGAUUAGGUUUAUUGUUAAUUUUAGAAAUUAUUUGUUUUGACUGUUCAAUUUGAUUGGGGUGAUCGAAAAAUUUAAUUAACUUUUUUUUUUCUUUUACAAUGGUUGUUGAUUAUAUGAUCCGGUUGUUCGAUUAUAAGACUUAAUUACCUUAGGGAUAACAGCGUAAUUUGUUUAAAGAGUUCUUAUCGAAAAACAGGAUUGCGACCUCGAUGUUGGAUUAGAAUUUAU
RNAcentral lists this ribosomal RNA (472 nucleotides) under Notosacantha ihai. RNAcentral's name for it is "partial 16S rRNA". It matches the Rfam family "Bacterial large subunit ribosomal RNA", at positions 1797 to 2547 of the family's 2925-position model. The record is from RNAcentral. Lineage: Eukaryota; Metazoa; Arthropoda; Insecta; Coleoptera; Chrysomelidae.